UUGAAUAAUCGUGAUAGGCUGUUGCUGGCUCUUCCCCCCUACAAAGGGGGAGGGGUAAUGUGCACGCUUGUCAUCUUUAUUUUUCCACCUGUGCACUUUUUGUAGGCCUUUCAGGUCUAUGUUGCUUCAUUUACUCCAAUGUAUGUCAAUAGAAUGUUGUGCCUAUAUAAUAUAUA
Molecule: unclassified non-coding RNA, 176 nt
Filed under: uncultured Cortinarius
Lineage: Eukaryota; Fungi; Basidiomycota; Agaricomycetes; Agaricales; Cortinariaceae
Description: sequence contains ITS1
Source: RNAcentral